This 624-nucleotide ribosomal RNA is filed under the name uncultured bacterium. Its description in RNAcentral is "bacterial SSU rRNA". It matches the Rfam family "Bacterial small subunit ribosomal RNA", at positions 165 to 788 of the family's 1533-position model. The record is from RNAcentral.
AAUACCCGAUGGCAUAAUUAGACCGCAUGGUUUGAUUAUUAAAGAAUUUCGGUUAUCGAUGGGGAUGCGUUCCAUUAGGCAGUUGGUGAGGUAACGGCUCACCAAACCUUCGAUGGAUAGGGGUUCUGAGAGGAAGGUCCCCCACAUUGGAACUGAGACACGGUCUAAACUCCUACGGGAGGCAGCAGUGAGGAAUAUUGGUCAAUGGACGAGAGUCUGAACCAGCCAAGUAGCGUGAAGGAUGAAGGUCCUACGGAUUGUAAACUUCUUUUAUAAGGGAAUAAACCCUCCCACGUGUGGGAGCUUGUAUGUACCUUAUGAAUAAGCAUCGGCUAACUCCGUGCCAGCAGCCGCGGUAAUACGGAGGAUGCGAGCGUUAUCCGGAUUUAUUGGGUUUAAAGGGAGCGCAGACGGGUCGUUAAGUCAGCUGUGAAAGUUUGGGGCUCAACCUUAAAAUUGCAGUUGAUACUGGCGUCCUUGAGUGCGGUUGAGGUGUGCGGAAUUCGUGGUGUAGCGGUGAAAUGCUUAGAUAUCACGAAGAACUCCGAUUGCGAAGGCAGCACACUAAUCCGUAACUGACGUUCAUGCUCGAAAGUGUGGGUAUCAAACAGGAUUAGAUACCCU